GGGGGCGACUGGUAUCGACCGGAUGCUGUCGCGCCUGGCUUUGCGUGUCGAGGUUCCAGGUGGCCUCGUAAAACCCUGGAAACACUUUGAUGUGCCGAUGAGCACUUCGCCCUGGCUGCCUAGAUAGCGUAGCCACGGAGCCGCGAGUUCGCUCGUGACCCGCGCCUCCGAUACACAGCGAGCUAGCCUCCACCGGUUGCGAGAGCAAGUGGCGGCGAAAUCCAACUCUCGCUGGCUGGUGCCGGAUCCUGUCCUUGGGAGCCGGAACCAGUGAGACUCCAAAUCACGGACUACACACGUAGACGGGUCCGGCCGGGCAUCACGGGACGGGGGUUCGACUCCCCCCGCCUCCACCA
This 356-nucleotide transfer-messenger RNA is filed under the name Planctomycetota. Its description in RNAcentral is "GCA-2748355 sp002748355 Standard tmRNA". It matches the Rfam family "transfer-messenger RNA". From Rfam's summary of the family: Bacterial tmRNA, also known as 10Sa RNA or SsrA, is named for its dual tRNA and mRNA-like properties. Its role is to liberate the mRNA from a stalled ribosome. RNAcentral also lists the same sequence under 1 other name. The record is from RNAcentral. Lineage: Bacteria; Pseudomonadati.